Molecule: ribosomal RNA, 498 nt
Filed under: Trabulsiella sp. TW55A
Lineage: Bacteria; Pseudomonadati; Pseudomonadota; Gammaproteobacteria; Enterobacterales; Enterobacteriaceae
Description: bacterial SSU rRNA
Rfam family: Bacterial small subunit ribosomal RNA
Source: RNAcentral
UCAUGGCGGGGCUACACAUGCAGUCGAGCGGCAGCGGGGGAAAGCUUGCUUUCCCGCCGGCGAGCGGCGGACGGGUGAGUAAUGUCUGGGAAACUGCCUGAUGGAGGGGGAUAACUACUGGAAACGGUAGCUAAUACCGCAUAACGUCUUCGGACCAAAGUGGGGGACCUUCGGGCCUCAUGCCAUCAGAUGUGCCCAGAUGGGAUUAGCUAGUAGGUGGGGUAACGGCUCACCUAGGCGACGAUCCCUAGCUGGUCUGAGAGGAUGACCAGCCACACUGGAACUGAGACACGGUCCAGACUCCUACGGGAGGCAGCAGUGGGGAAUAUUGCACAAUGGGCGCAAGCCUGAUGCAGCCAUGCCGCGUGUAUGAAGAAGGCCUUCGGGUUGUAAAGUACUUUCAGCGGGGAGGAAGGUGUUGUGGUUAAUAACCACAGCAAUUGACGUUACCCGCAGAAGAAGCACCGGCUAACUCCGUGCCAGCAGCGGCGGGUAAUA